UAGGGAAUCUUCGGCAAUGGGGGCAACCCUGACCGAGCAACGCCGCGUGAGUGAAGAAGGUUUUCGGAUCGUAAAGCUCUGUUGUAAGAGAAGAACGUGUGUGAGAGUGGAAAGUUCACACAGUGACGGUAACUUACCAGAAAGGGACGGCUAACUACGUGCCAGCAGCCGCGGUAAUACGUAGGUCCCGAGCGUUGUCCGGAUUUAUUGGGCGUAAAGCGAGCGCAGGCGGUUUAAUAAGUCUGAAGUUAAAGGCAGUGGCUUAACCAGUGUUCGCUUUGGAAACUGUUAAACUUGAGUGCAGAAGGGGAGAGUGGAAUUCCAUGUGUAGCGGGGAAAUGCGUAGAUAUAUGGGGGAACACCGGUGGCGAAAGCGGCUCUCUGGUCUGUAACUGACGCUGAGGCUCGAAAGCGUGGGGAGCAAACAGG
RNAcentral lists this ribosomal RNA (429 nucleotides) under bacterium. RNAcentral describes it as "partial 16S ribosomal RNA". It matches the Rfam family "Bacterial small subunit ribosomal RNA", at positions 355 to 776 of the family's 1533-position model. The record is from RNAcentral.